CUUCAAGUGUCUCAGCAGAGAUGGCCAACCUGAUGUCCCUAAUGUGUUCUCUUGUCCUAACUUUCAGGGCUCGUGUGGUUUUCAAGCUUUUGGAGCACAAAGGCCCCUUUUUAGCAGGGAAUCUCUGUUUUGAAGCCCACUACUGUUAAUGAGGUCUUAUGUCCAUCUGCCCCUCUGCUUGAUUUGCUACUUUGCUACUCAGAUCUCUAAUAGGAGCUUCCUGGUGGGCAGCAUACUCACAUCUGCCACAGCGGUAUUCAUUCUGAAACUGCUGCGCAUUGUACAAUGAAGAAAACCAAAUCUUGCU
This is a long non-coding RNA of Hyla sarda, 307 nucleotides long. RefSeq lists it as uncharacterized. The transcript has 4 exons. The record is from RefSeq and is a predicted model, not a curated record. Lineage: Eukaryota; Metazoa; Chordata; Amphibia; Anura; Hylidae.